UAAUGCCGGAUGCUCCAUCACACCGCAUGGUGUGUUGGGAAAGCCUUUGCGGCAUGGGAUGGGGUCGCGUCCUAUCAGCUUGAUGGCGGGGUAACGGCCCACCAUGGCUUCGACGGGUAGCCGGCCUGAGAGGGCGACCGGCCACAUUGGGACUGAGAUACGGCCCAGACUCCUACGGGAGGCAGCAGUGGGGAAUAUUGCACAAUGGGCGCAAGCCUGAUGCAGCGACGCCGCGUGAGGGAUGGAGGCCUUCGGGUUGUAAACCUCUUUUGUUAGGGAGCAAGGCAUUUUGUGUUGAGUGUACCUUUCGAAUAAGCACCGGCUAACUACGUGCCAGCAGCCGCGGUAAUACGUAGGGUGCAAGCGUUAUCCGGAAUUAUUGGGCGUAAAGGGCUCGUAGGCGGUUCGUCGCGUCCGGUGUGAAAGUCCAUCGCUUAACGGUGGAUCCGCGCCGGGUACGGGCGGGCUUGAGUGCGGUAGGGGAGACUGGAAUUCCCGGUGUAACGGUGGAAUGUGUAGAUAUCGGGAGA
Molecule: ribosomal RNA, 530 nt
Filed under: Bifidobacterium breve
Lineage: Bacteria; Bacillati; Actinomycetota; Actinomycetes; Bifidobacteriales; Bifidobacteriaceae
Description: bacterial SSU rRNA
Rfam family: Bacterial small subunit ribosomal RNA
Source: RNAcentral